UGGACCCUGGGCUUGUGGCUGUACUGGUUGCCUCUGGGGCCUGUUCUGUGUGUCAGAUGGCUGGAGUUCCUGAGGUGAGGCACUGGAGGAGUGACGGGGUGAGGCCAGCACCCCCGUCAUCUCCUGCUCUGAAGAAAAGGACUGCAGGGAAGAGGACAGCCUGCAAUGGCCCUGUUCUCCGACACCUUCCUCUACUGGGAGGAGCCCAGGUGACCCAGGACGGACAGGAGUAAUUUGGCCAUGGAGAAGACUGGCAGGAGCCACCUGAGUCCUGUGACCAGAGCAAAUAUAAGCAUCAGAGUGCCAGAUGUCCUGAAUACUCACAUGGCUUUCAAUGAGGGGAACACGGCAACAGGUCACUGCUGGAGAAACCCCGCGCGCCCUGUUACCUAGUUCUCGGCGAAACCCAUGACUGACCGCGUAAGUUGUCACCAGAUGUUCUCUUUUGUCAGUCUUACAAAAACGUGUGGUUGGGACAAGGAGGAACAUCUGGCCUGGGCUCGUCAAGCAGUGAGAGGGCGAACCUGCGCUGGCAGUGUUGACCGGCCAGCGCUGAGAAG
Long non-coding RNA from Fukomys damarensis (Damara mole-rat), 560 nucleotides. RefSeq lists it as uncharacterized. NCBI's taxonomy places the organism in Eukaryota, Metazoa, Chordata, Mammalia, Rodentia, Bathyergidae. The transcript has 3 exons. The record is from RefSeq and is a predicted model, not a curated record.